GGUUAAAAAGCUCGUAGUUGGAUUUCUGUCGGUGAGUGAAAGUCCGCUCUCAGUGGUUGGUACCUUUCGCGCCACCGGCAUCUUCCUGGGGAUUGUGUCUGCUCUUUGUUGAGUGGCGCAUAAUCCAGGACUUUUACUUUGAAGAAAUGAGAGUGUUUCAAGCAGGCCUACGCCGAAUACGUUAGCAUGGAAUAAUAGCAUCGGACCUCGUUCCAAAGCUGUUGGUUUCUUGGACCGAGGUAAAGGUGAAUAGGGAUUGUUGGGGGCAUUCGUAUUUAACUGUCAGAGGUGAAAUUCUUGGAUUUGUUGAAGACGGACUACUGCGAAAGCAUCUGCCAAAGAUGUUCCCAUUGAUCAAGAACGAAAGUUAGGUGAUCGAAGACGAUCAGAUACCGUCCUAGUCUUAACCAUAAACUAUGCCGACUGGAGAUCGGGGGUCGUUAACUUUGUGACGCCCUUUGCAUCUUGAGAGAAAUCAAAGUCUUUGGGUUCCGGGGGGAGUAUGGUCGCAAGGCUGAAACUUAAAGGAAUUGACGGAAGGGCACCACCAGGAGUGGAGCCUGCGGCUUAAUUUGACUCAACACGGGGAAACUUACCAGGUCCAGACAUAGUAAGGAUUGACAGACUGAUAGCUCUUUCGAGAUUCUAUGGGUGGUGGUGCAUG
Molecule: ribosomal RNA, 664 nt
Filed under: uncultured marine eukaryote
Lineage: Eukaryota
Description: SSU rRNA
Rfam family: Eukaryotic small subunit ribosomal RNA
Source: RNAcentral